Pogoniulus pusillus (Red-fronted tinkerbird) is the source of this 1833-nucleotide long non-coding RNA. RefSeq lists it as uncharacterized. The record is from RefSeq and is a predicted model, not a curated record. The transcript is spliced from 5 exons. Lineage: Eukaryota; Metazoa; Chordata; Aves; Piciformes; Lybiidae.
GCGUUGCUACGGACUGCGCGCCCGCGCUUUGUAGUCGCGCGUUGCUACGGAUUCAGCUCCGCAUUUUCACGCAUGCGCCAGAGAGGUUGAGGCGGAUUAACCCGAGUCAAGCCGAAUGGCGCUGAACUCAAGUCGAUUCGGAGGGAGCCGAGCGGCGACGAACAGAUCUGAACUCGGCCGAACGGCGCCGAAUCGAGCUAGUCGGAACCGGAGCGGAACGAGUGAAGACGGAGCGAGCUGAGUCACUCCGGCUGGAGCGGAAGGAGCUGAGCCGAGGCGGAGGGAGUGGAGCUGUCCAAGGCCGAGAGGGACGGAGCCGCCGUCCUUUCGGGGGAAAGGAAAACUUCAUGCAUUCUCUGAGAGAGGUUCGUUCUUUUUUGUCUCAUGCAAGAGUAUUCAGCAGAUAAAUUGAUCAGCAGCGGCGGAUCUGAGACACGUUUUAGAACAACUCGCGCUCAGGACCUCCAGCCAUGCCCCUUUUGGCAUCUUCAAGACAAAUGUGGACAGCAGGGCAAGGGAGGGGAUUCUGCCCUAUUAAUCUGCUCUUGUGAGAUCUCAACUGGAGUACUGCGUACAGUUCUGGAGCCCUCAACACAAGAAGGACAUGAAACUGUUGGAGGAGCUUAAUUUCUUUGCCCCAGAUCCAGUUGCAGAUUUGUAUUCGGCCACAGCCACAAAUGCUGGCAGAGUGGGAUGCUUUGGUACCAGAAUGUGAAGCUGUUUUAAAUGCAAUUUCUCAUUGCAAAGGGUUCAGAAAUGGAUUUCCUUUGGAGAAUGGGGGCAGAAAUGUCUCUGUGCACCCCAAGAAGGGCUUGAACUGAGACAGGUUCAGAGAGCUGAAACCAUCCAAUGGUUUAAUCUAUCAGAGCAGCAGGCACAAGAGGUUUGUGACUGCCAGGGAUGAAUGCACCAACUGCAAGGUGGUCUCAGGGUAGUAAAUCUUGGGUAACAUUGACACACUUGAAGAUGUGGCCCUGGUAGUGGAGGCUCCUUGUCUGGAAGGAUUUCAGUAUCCCAGUUGGACAUUGUGAUGCUGGGCAAGCUGCUGUGGGUGCCUCUGCUUUAGCAGGAGGAUUGGACCAGAAGUCCCUUCCAACCCUAGAAAUAUGCCAAACAAAUGAACAAAAACCCCUCCAAAAUGAAACUACUGAUAGUCCAGAAAAGGUGAGAAAAGAACAGUUUUAAAGAUCUCUUGACUUUUGUAUUUUCCUUCCUCUUCCAGGCUGUUCUUUAUGUUCAUCAAAUCAUCAAAGAGUUUGGGUUGGAUGUGACCUCAGAGCUCAUCUAGUUCCAGCCCCUGUGCCCUGGGCAGGGAUAGCUUCCACUAGCCCAGGUUGCGCCAAGCCUGUUUGGGGCUUUUUAGCUUGUUAAUUAAAAUAUUUCAAGUGCCGAGAAAAUCUGAAGCAGUUCUUUUCCCCUCAGGACAGAGAGCACAUUCUGUGGCCUCAGGAUCUGAGAGCGUGUGGUCUGAGCCCGGAAUGCCUGAAGCAGAGGAGCUUCCAACUUCCUGCCUGCCUGUGGCAAGCAGAGGAUUCAGUGCGCCCAGAAAGGACUUGGAGUGGCAGAGGUUCCAAGAGCUGGAAGCAUCCCAUGGUUUAAUGCAUGAGAGCAAGAGGCAGCAUAGAGCCGUGGCUGACAGUGAUAAGUGCAGGACCUGCAGGGCGAUGUCAGGGUAGUAAAUGUUGGGGGGCAUGCGAGAGGGUGGGAGCUGCUGCCCUGUGCGGCAGCUCUGCUAGAAGAGAAAAGCAGCCGGGGCUCAGCCAUGUGCCAGAGGUGCCAAAGUUCGGCAGAAGGAUGUCUCUGGCUUGGGUAGAGAAGAAGGAGCAGAGCCUG